Molecule: ribosomal RNA, 483 nt
Filed under: Meligethes macrofemoratus
Lineage: Eukaryota; Metazoa; Arthropoda; Insecta; Coleoptera; Nitidulidae
Description: partial large subunit ribosomal RNA
Rfam family: Bacterial large subunit ribosomal RNA
Source: RNAcentral
CAUGGCUUUUUGUUAUUUAUAUAAGGUCUAACCUGCCCAAUGAUGUAAUUAAAUGGCCGCGGUAUUUUGACCGUGCAAAGGUAGCAUAAUCAUUAGUUUUUUAAUUGAAAGCUGGAAUGAAAGGUUGAAUGAGAAAAUGACUGUCUUUAUUAUAUUUAAUUAAAACUUUAUUUUUAAGUUAAAAAGCUUAAAUAUUAUUUAAAGACGAGAAGACCCUUUAGAGUUUUAUAAAAAAUUAGUUUUUGGGCUUUAAGAAUUAACUAUAAGAAAAUUAAUUUUUAUUUAGUUGGGGCGAUUAAAAAAUUUAAAAAACUUUUUUUUUUAUUUAACAUUAAUUUAUGAAUAUUUGAUCCAUAAAUUAUGAUUAUAAGAUUAAAUUACCUAAGGGAUAACAGCGUUAUUUUUUUUGAGAGUUCUUAUCGAAAAAAGAGAUUGCGACCUCGAUGUUGGAUUAAAAUUAAAUUAUGGUGUAGGAGCUAUAAC